This 10100-nucleotide long non-coding RNA is filed under the name Panax ginseng (ginseng). RNAcentral describes it as "long non-coding RNA (PGIN_LNC018180)". Lineage: Eukaryota; Viridiplantae; Streptophyta; Magnoliopsida; Apiales; Araliaceae. The record is from RNAcentral.
CUGCAGAAGGUGGUUCAGGGGUAAUAUUACUGUUAUCAUAAAAAUCUGGAAAUGGGUAUUUUUCACCUGAGUUUUUGAAAGCAUGUAGGCCCAUGGAAGAGGUGGCUGCUGCCGAGGUUAGGAAAUAAACUGCCGGAAUAUUGUGAGACGAAGCGAUUUCCGGUGCCCAUGAGGGAUUGAAAUCAUAAAUAAGCAAAUCAGGGUUUAAGGUUUUAAGGAUUUCAGAGAAGGUGGGGGCUGCUGUUUCAAAGGCGUUUCUGAGUGGGACCAUGAGAUGGGAAGGGAGGCCAUUUGUGGUGUGGUAGUGAGGGGGAAGAUCAGGGGAAGAGGGAAGAUGAAGCUCUACUAGUUUUAUAGAAGCAGAGGAAUCCUUAUCAGAUACUCUGUUCUUGAUGGAGCUAAGAUUGAUUGGGGUAGAACAGAGGAAUAUAUUACAAUUUCUUUUUGAGAGAUGCUUGGCUAGCUCAAAGAAUGGAGAAAUGUGGCCAUGGGCUAAAAAUGGCAGCAUAACUAUACUGAUUCUACCUUUUUCGAUAUCCAUGAUGAACUCUGUUUUUCUUACUAAAUAAAUUUCUCUCACCCCUCUCUACUGAUUUCAUUAGCGAAGGUGGGGUGUACUAUAUAUAAAAUAGUUAUAUUACUAUUAUACUCCGUCCGUCCCUUCCUUAUUAUUAUUUUGGGUAAUCUCAUGUUAAAUGUCUAUUUUUUUUAAUAACUAAAUUUUUACACAUUUCUUCCUAUUAUACCCAUAGCAUUAAAUAUUUUAUAUUUUUAUUAUUCUAAUUCUCUCCAUAUUUAUUAAGCAUAAUUAGUUAUGUGCUGAAAAUAUUUUGAAUUGAAAAGUUAGAAAAUUACUCUCUCACCUCCAUUGAAAAUAAUUAAAGACAUAUUAUUAUGAGUAAUUUUAUUAUUUUAUUCCUCUUUUUAAUAUGCGGAUUUUUAUCCUGGACGGAGGGAGUAAUAUACGGCGUGUAAUCAAUCACACGCGUACUGAGUGACGUAUGUAGUUUGUAUCGUUAUUGGGCGAUGAAAUUAAUGACAUUGUUGGCUGCAAAAAGAUGAAUAAGAUAUGUUGAGAUAGAAAAUAGGAAAAAUUAAUAAUAAUUUUUUUAAAACUAUCCCUUAUUAUUCUGUUUAUUUUUUUAAUAUUUUAAACUCUUUCUCUCUUUUUAUCCUAACAAAAGAUUUAAGAGUAUUAUAGACAAUUGAGUAUUAUUAUAUUUAAUAUUUUUUAAUCAUUAUUUUAAUUCUUAUGUCCACUUUUAAAUAGGAAAUAGUAAUUUUCCUAUUAAGAGUACUACUCCAUAAUUUUAUUAUUGUUAUUAAUUAAGCUCAUUAAAUGAUAAUACUUAUUCUUUGCCUUGUGUACUUAUCCUUCUAUGCAGAUAGAGAAUAAUAGGAUCGGUCGGAAUAACAAAAAGCACCAAUAAUUUAUUUAUUCGUUGGAAUAAAAUUCUUUUAUCAAUUUUCUAUUUUUAAUGAUCGUCAUUUUUUAUGCAAAUGUCACUUGUGUUGGCUAACGGACAACUUGCUUAAGCUAAAAUAAGUAAAUAACGAGUGCCGUCCAAAGUUUUGCCUCUUUUUUAAUCAUUUUUUAUUAGUAUUAUUGGAUGCCCAUUUUUUAAAUUUAUUGCUGAUGUUACUACGCAUUUUGAAAAGUUAAAGCAUGCACCUUUUCGCCGAAGGCUUUUAUUUUUUUUUAGAUAUUUUUGCAUUAAAAAAAUAAUAUUUUUAUAUCAAAAUUUAUAACGAUAUUUUUUAUGUAAAAAUAUUACAAAAUAUUAUGAAAAUAUCAAUUUAUUUAAAAAAAUGACAAAAUAUUAAUGGCAAACUGCAAGUAUAAUUUUAUACUAGAUGGUUUAAUAUUACAAUGUAUACAUUUCUAAAUAUUAUAUUGUCCGAUUCUAAAUAAGUGAUACAUUUUAAUUUUUUAGAGUCAAUUUAUAAAAUUUUAAAUUUUAAAAUUAAUAUAAUCUGGUUCAAGUUUUAAAAAUAGUAAAGAUAAUAUUUUAUACUUAUUUUAUAAUUAUUAUUUUUAUUUGUACUAAAACUAAAUCAUUUCAUAUCAAUUUUAAAAUUUUAUAAACCGAUUUUAAAAAAAUCAAAACAUUUCUCUUAUUUUAAAAUGAAUUGAGUAUAAGUUGGUCAAAAGUUGGUUGGUUAUGGGUCAUGUUCACAAGUAUAUAAGAAUAUUACUAUAAACAUGACUUUAAGACUUGGUUGUUACGGAAAAAUGUUGUCCUCUAUCCUCAAAAGACGGUCUUUAAUUUACAAAAUAUUUUAUUUCUAAAAAAUAUAUUUUAAAUAUACAAGUUAAAAAUAAAAUAAUUAUAAGACUAAUUUACCCUAAAAAAUAUAUUAAAAUAAGAUCCACUAAAUUUAAAGAGACAAACAUUUAUUAGUAUAAUAGAAUGGAGUUCACCAUGAACAAGAUUGAUAUUUAUUUUAUACUAAUUCCACUCUUUUAAGUUUCAAUUAUCUAAUACCCCCAUCAAAGAAAUCAAAACAAAAUUGAAAGAGAGGAAAUUAAUGGAGCCCUUUUCAAUGUUUUAAUUCUCGUGUUAUGUUUGGAUUGAAAAAUUAAAAUUAGUAAAAGAAUGGAAUAGAGAAGAUAAUAAAAUGGAAUAGAAAGUGAAAAAAUUUAUUUCAUUUCAGCUAAAAUGAUUCAUUUCAUUUUAAUGAACAACCAAACACGAGUUAUUCUAUUUUCACCUUUAUUUCUCUAAUCUACAAAAGUUUUUUAUUUAUUUAUAAUUAAUAACUUAUGAAAUGACACAAUAUUCUAACUAUAGGUAUCAUAAUUUAUUAUCAAACUAACGAUGUUUUUUUUGUUUGGGCAAAUGAACAGAGAUAAAAUUCAAGUAUAUAACAAGUUAAAGAGGAGAUAAAUUAAUUUGUAAGAAUAAUUUGAUUAUUAAUUUAUAAUUUUUAAAUAUAAUGAGUAUAAUCAUAUAUACAUGCACCCAUUAUUAUUUACCAAAAAACAUUCUCAUUAAUUGAUUAAAUUUUUUUUCACUUUAAAUAUACUCCAAAAGGAAUAUAAGCUAUAUUGGUACAUGAAUAAUACUAGAUCCCUAAAGUAUUAUAUUUUCAUCAACUAAAAACCUAUUUUAGAUUGACAAUAAACUAGAAUUCUGACAUAUAAUUCAAUUACUAUCAUUUAUAAAAAUCACCAAUCAAAUAAUUAUUCUAGAGUCCUAGCUAAAGUAAAUGUACACUACAUUUAAUUAUUUAUCUUAAAAUUCACCGAAAUAAACUUACAAUAUAUAAUUCAAUUAUUCAUCUAACUAGAUAAAAAUUUAAUAAAUCAAUAUUAUUUUCUCAAAAUUCUAAUAUAUCAUAUUUAUACUAAGAAUAAAGAAACUUUUACACAUCCGGUCGAAGUUCACACAAUUUAAAUAGAAUAUAUAUAUAUAUAUAUAUAUAUAUAUAUAUAUUCAAUAACAAUAACAACAACAACAAUAAUAAUAAUAAUAAUAAUUUUAAAAAAAAACUAACAAUUGAAUUAAUUAAAUGGAACAUUAAAUUAGUAAAUAAUUGUGAAAAACAAUGAACCUAAAUUGAAAUGAAUUACAAUCGCCAAAAAAAAGAGAAAAAAGAAAGAUAACUUUUUUUUUUAUUAUUAUAUUCAACUGAAAUUUAUUAUUUCUGUCUUUUGACAAAAAUAGAUCCCAAACCUCAUGCACUCAAGCCUAAUCAAUAAAUUUUUUAACCAUUGAACCAUGGUAUGAAAGAUAACUCGUGACUCACACAGGUUCCAAGCUUGUAUAUGUUAAACUUCAUGUGACUGAAAAAACUAAUCAACUGCAAUCAUAACUAGGAGUCGUUUCAGGGUGUUGGAGUGUGGUUUGAUGGGUUCGGGGGAAUGGAAGGGUCACAGUUGAUCUAUAAAUCCCUUGUUUUAAUUAGCUUAAUUCUUCUUUUUGAAGAAGUCAAAUCUGGACUUACAAUUAUAAGGACCAUCAACAUAGGAUUGUUCAUUGUGCAUGUUUAAGUUCAUUAAUUGGUGAUUUAAUAAGCGGAUAAAUUUCGACGUUAACACAAGAUAUGAAAUUCAAUGAGACGAGAGAAGGCUUUCCUCCCAUACGUGGACCUACUUGAGAUGAGCAGAAUAUGUCUGAGCAACUUUGUCAGAUCAGGAAUCUGUUAAAUUUUGCCUCGGUUAGGCUAGCUGUAAGACAGACAUCAUCACAGAGAGGUUAAAGAGUAGCUAGCUGAGAAAAAAUCUGUUCUUUCACGUACAAUAUACUUGGCAAGACAUUGUAGACUUUUAGCAGAGCUUAAUUUAGUUUUAUUACAUACCAAACCAAUGAAAAUCAACCAUUCCUUGGUUUAGUACAAAAACCACUUGAAUUAUAGCAUACAAAGAAAGAGUUCAAAACCCAACCUAAGCGCAUUCAAAAUUAGUACUACUACUAUUACUAUUGUGCAUCUUUCUUCUUCUUACAAAUUUGUACUAGCUCCUCCACUGCCCUAUCAAUCUCUUCCUCUCCUUUCUCUUUCAUUUUCUCACUCAAUUCCCUUGCUUUCCUCCUCAUAACCUCCCCACUUUUCUCCACAACGACUUUUCUUAUUACCUCUGCAAUCCCUUCUCUCUUAUACUUCCCAUUUUCAUCUCUCACAACCUCCAUGCCCACACCAACCUCCGCCGCCAGCUUACCAUUCAAAGGCUGAUCAAGAUGCCUGGCCAUGGCAAUUACUGGAACCCCAAACUUCAUACUCUCCGCAAUAGAACUCCACCCACAAUGGCUCACAAACCCACCGGUGCUUGAAUGUCCUAAAAUUCUUGCCUGUGGAGCCCACCCCUCCACAACCAAUCCUCUGUCUCCUACCCUUUGAACAAAUCCCUCUGGUAAAACCCCUUUUUUCUCUCCUUCAAUUAAUCUCACAGCCCAUAUGAAAUUAACCAUGCUAAUCUCUAGCCCAAUUGCUACUUCUUCCAAUUCCUCAUUGGAGAGAAAAUACUCACUUCCAAAGCAGACAAACACCACUGUAGAUUCAGCCCUUUUGUCAAGCCAGUUUAUAAUCUGCUCUGUUUUUGGAUCUUCAUUAUGGCCCAUAGGAUCUUGAACGAGUGGACCAACAGGAACCAAAGUUUUAUCAGAUAAAGUGGAAAGCAAAUCGAUAUAUUUCCCUUCUAGUUCUAUAAAACUCUUAAUCAAAAUAAUGUCGCAAGAUCGUUCGAAACAAGCGAUAAAAUCAUGAAGUAGCUUCAUGUUAUCUGCAGAAGGUGGUUCAGGGGUAUUAUUACUGUUAUCAUAAAAAUCUGGAAAUGGGUAUUUUUCACCUGGGUUUUUGAAAGCAUGUAGGCCAAUGGAAGAGCUGGCUGCUGCCGUGGUUAGGAAAUAAACUGCCGGAAUAUUGUGAGACGAAGCGAUCUCCGGUGCCCAUGAGGGAUUGAAAUCAUAAAUAAGCAAAUCGGGGUUUAAGGUUUUAAGGAUUUCAGAGAAGGUGGGGCCUGCUGUUUCAAAGGCGUUUAUGAGUGGGACCAUGAGAUGGGAAGGGAGGCCAUUUGUGGUGUGAUAGUGAGGAGGAAGAUCAGGGGAAGAUGGAAGAUGAAGCUCAACUAGUUUUAUAGAAGCAGAGGAAUCCUUAUUCUUGAUGGAGCUAAGAUUGAUUGGGGUAGAACAGAGGAAAACAUUGCAAUUUCUUUUUGCGAGUUGUUUGGCUAGCUCAAAGAAGGGAGAUAUGUGACCAUGGGCUAAAAAUGGUAGCAACGCUAUACUGAUUCUACCUUCUUGGUUAUCCAUGAAUGAACUCUGUUUGUUUCUCUCUCUCUUGCUGUAUAAUUUCAUUAGCCAAGGGUGUGUAUAUAAAUAAAAGAGUAAAAUAUAUUGACACCCCCCGUACAUAAUUAUAAUAACACUCACCAUUUUUUUAGUUUUUCAAGUAACAGUCAGUACCCCUCUAAUCUACAAUAUGUAACAUUCACCGCCUCUAGUAUGGUUGACCAACUAAUAUUUAAAAAUAUUUUUAAUAUAAUGUCUAAUACACCCUUCAAGUUAUAAUGUUUAAUUUCUCCACUAAAUAUAAAUUUGUAUAUCAUAAUUUUUAUUUUACUUGAUCUAAUUAAUUAAAUUAUGAAAUUGUGUAAUAAAUAACAUAAAAGUCAAAAAAUAAUAAAUAUUCAUUUUAUCAGGAAAAUAAAGUCAUGCAAUUUUUAUUAAUUAAAUUUCUCAAAUAUUAAAAUUUAUGUGAUAUAUAUUCAAAUAAUUUUUUUUAAUUAAAAAGUAUAAUAUUAAUACCCAUGAAAAUUACAAAUUAACGCAAUAAAAUUAUUAUUAUUAUUUUCAAAUAUUAAAAUUUACGUAAAACAAACUUAUUAUUACAAUUUAAACGAAUCUUAUUACUCAUAUAAAAAAGUAUUAAAAAUUAUAUUAAUUAUUUUUCUCAUAUAUUAAACUAAACAUAAGUCACACUUAAACAUAAUUAUUUACAGUAAAAAUGACAAAUGUUGUUACUUAAAAAAGAAAAGAAAAAAUAUAUGAAAAGAAUUUUUUUUUAAAAAGAUAGAGGUAGUAAUAAUAUAAUUAUAUUUUUUUAUUUAAUAUUACAUAAAAACAGCGUCAACUGUAUACUAAAAAAAUAUAAUCAAAAUCAUAAACAUCCCAAUUUUUUAUAUAUACUCAAUAAAAAUUAUAAUAUGAAAUAAAAUUCAAAUAAUAUUUUUUGUUGUUAAGUACCAAAAAUUAAACUAUCAAUAUACUCAAUCACUCUAAUUAGAAUAGCUUCAUUAAUAAUUUAAUUUUUUUAAAUAUUUAUAUCACUUAUCCAAAAAUAUGUGUUAGUUAAAGUAAAUUAAUUUUUUAUAAGUUACCAACAAUUUAAAUGAGAUAGUUUUAAUUAUAAAUAAAAUUAUAAUUAAAAUGUCUUGUAUUAAAAAAAAGGAUAAUUAAAUAUAUAUAUAUAUAUAUUAUUUAGUAAUUAAAAUUUGAUAAAAUACAAGGGUAAAUAUGUAAUUUUAUCUAUUUAGUCAAUCCUAAAAACUUGCAGAGGUACUAACUGUUAUUUAAAAAAUUAGAGGAGAGGUGAAUGUUAUUAUGAUUAUCUAGAGGGGAUGUCACUGUAUUUUAUUCUAAAUAAAAUAAGUGGACAAGGGGUAGCGCCGCCCAAGAAGACGAGAUUGAGAUUGGGAUUGGGAAUUGGAAAGAGUGGCCUAUAACUCUUGAUCCCAACACGUGUUAAACGUGAUUGGGAAAGACAGGCAUAUAAGUCUUGUUGUCCCAAUUGUGUGUUGAUCUUAAAACUUAAAACUUCGCGUGGCUGAAAUAAAUAAGCCACUGCAAUCAAAAAUCAAAACUAUGAUUCUAUUAUAAAGUCACGCCAUUUUAUUAAUUUUUUUUAUAAAUAUAUUAUUGAAUUUAUUAAGUAAAAUAAUUUUAAUAAGAAUAUAUUUUCUUUCAAAAAUUAUAAGUAUUAUUUAACUUAUAAUAAAAUUUUAUUUAUACUUAAACUUAAUUAAUUACAUUUGUAUUUUAAUUAAGGGUAAAAGUUCAAAUUAGGUAAUACUAUAUAUGUGGAAGAAAAAAAAUUGUCAAACUAUAUUAUCUAGGCUAUAAUAAAAUUUUAUUUAUUAAUGGUAAUAAUUAAUUUUCCAGAUAUAUGACCCAAAAAUGUAGCAAACUGCCACUGCCUAACCAUUAGAGGUCAUUCUCACCAAGGCACGACUCUAGAAGUUCGAAAUUCCAUAGACAAUCUAAACCACAAUUAUGCAUUGUAAAUAUCACAUAUUAAGCAUAAUUAAAAAUGGGAAAUAAAGUAAUUAAGUUGGAAGAUUCUGAACGGUCCUUGUUCUUUAUCAAUUAAAAGAUUUAAAAUGUUCUGUUUGAGUAUAUAGAUAUCCUGAAUUUUUAAUAUUUUUUCAUUUUAGGAUUGUCUUUUCAAUUUUUUCUAUUACAAGAUUAAAUUUUUAAUUUUUUUUUAUUACGUCUAAUUGAUAAUAUCAUGUCAGAAAAUUAAUGACAUAGUAGCGACACAUAACUAAAAAAAUACUUAUAUAUAUUAUUGAGUCUCAUUUUAAUAUUUAUUCAAAAAAAAAAAUAAAGGUGUAAAUUCGCAGUACCGUAAAUACCAUUUACUUAAAAUGAUGGAACCAAGUUGUUUAAAUUUUUACAUCAUUUAAAAAAAUAUCAUUGACCCUUGUUAUCCAUUUUCCAUCAUAACAUGGAAUCUCUCAUACAUGAUAUAACAAUUCUUAAUCACUUAUUUUUAAAUACAUUCAGAUCUAAUUUUCAUAUUUGUAUAAAAAAAUCUCCUUCAAUUUAAUUCAGCUCUCUACAUACUGCGCGUUAACUAUAAUUAAGACCUUUCAAAUUACUUUUAGAAGGUAAAAUAUCUAUAAAUAAAAUUAAAUACUCCACUACUUGUCUUAUUAUUGGGACGGUCUCAUCGUGAUUAGUGCCAAUUAUAUAUUACUAUUUUCGUUCUUAAGAGAUUGUCAUUUAAGAUUUUUACAUAUGAAUUAAAAAAUUACUGUAUAAUUUAUCAAGUAAAAUUUAUUUGAAAUUCCAUCACUACCUCUUUAUGGGAAAUUAAAAACUAUUAAUACAAAGAAGAGAAUUUUUUCGGACAAUGAGAGAAAGUAGAGAUAAUAUAGAAAAGUAAAUAAUUUAUUCUUCUCAAAAGUUAUAAACGACAAAUAUUUUAAAAUAUAUUUUUUUUAAAACGAUAAUCUUUUAACAACGGGAGGAGUAAUAUAAUUGGCAAGACAUUGUAGGCUUUUAGCAGCUUAAUUUAGUUUUAUUACAUACCAAACCAAUGAAAAUCAACCAUUCCUUGAUUUUCUUCACAACACAAAGUCCAAGUACACAAACCACUUUAAUUAUAGCAUACAAAGAAAGAGUUCAAAGCCCAACCUAAGCGCAUUCAAAAUGAUUUUAAAGGGAAAAAAAUUAGUCUAUUACUACUAUUGUUCAUCUUUCUUCUUCUUACAAAUUUGUACUAGCUCCUCCACUGCCCUAUCAAUCAAUUGCUCUCCUAUCUCUUUCAUUUUCUCACUCAAUUCCCUUGCUUUCCUCCUGAUAACCUCCCCACUUUUCUCCACCACGACUUUUCUUAUUACCCCUGCAAUAUCUUCUCUCUUAUACUUCCCAUUUUCAUCUCUCACAACCUCCAUGCCCACACCAACCUCCGCCGCCAGCUUAGCAUUCAAAGGCUGAUCAAAAUGCCUGGCCAUGGCAAUUACUGGAACCCCAAACUUCAUACUCUCCGUAAUAGAACUCCACCCACAAUGGCUCACAAACCCACCGGUGCUUGAAUGUCCUAAAAUUCUUGCCUGUGGAGCCUACCCCUCCACAACCAAUCCUCUGUCUCCUACCCUUUGAACAAACCCCUCUGGUAAAACCCCUUUUUUCUCUCCUUCAAUUAAUCUCACAGCCCAUAUGAAAUUAACCAUGCUAAUCUCUAGCCCAAUUGCUACUUCUUCCAAUUCCUCAUUGGAGAGAAAAUACUCACUUCCAAAGCAGACAAACACCACUGUAGAUUCAGCCCUUUUGUCAAGCCAGUUUAUAAACUGCUCUGUUUUUGGAUCUUCAUUAUGGCCCAUAGGAUCUUGAACGAGUGGACCAACAGGAACCAAAGUUUUAUCAGAUAAAGUAGAAUAAAAAUCAAAAUAUUUCCCUUCUAGUUCUCUAAAACUCUUAAUCAAAAUAAUGUCGCAAGAUCGUUCGAAACAAGUCAUAAAAUCAAGUAAUAACUUCAUGUUAUCUGCUGAAGGUGGUUCAGGGGUAAUAUUACUGUUAUCAUCAAAAUCUAGAAAUGGGUAUUUUUCACCUGGGUUUUUGAAACUAUGUAGGCUCAUGGAAAAGGAGGCUGCUCCCCCAAUUAUGAAACAAACUGCCGGAAUAUUGUGAGACGAAGCGAUCUCCGGUGCCCAUGAGGGAUUGAAAUCAUAAAUAAGCAAAUCAGGGUUUAAGGUUUUAAGGAUUUCAGAGAAGGUGGGGCCUGCUGUAUCAAAGGCGUUUCUGAGUGGGAUCAUGAGAUGGGAAGGGAGGCCAUUUGUGGUGUGGUAGUGAGGAGGAAGAUCAGGGGAAGAUGGAAGAUGAAGCUCUACUAGUUUUAUAGAAGCAGAGGAAUCCUUAUCAGAUAUUCUGUUCUUGAUG